GCGNGUUACGAUUCGCCCUUAGAGUUUGAUCAUGGCUCAGGAUGAACGCUAGCGGCAGGCUUAACACAUGCAANUCGAGGGGCAGCAUGUCCAGCAAUGGAUGAUGGCGACCGGCGGAAGGGUGCGUAACGCGUGAGCAACAUGCCCUAUACAGGGAGAUACACCAGGGAAACUUGGUCUAAUAUCCCAUAGCAUUCAUUGAAGGCAUCUUUAAUGAAUUAAAGCUUCGGUGGUAUAGGAUUGGCUCGCGUGACAUUAGCCAGAUGGUGAGGUAACGGCUCACCAUAGCAAUGAUGUCUAGGGGUUUUGAGAGGAAGGCCCCCCACACUGGGACUGAGACACGGCCCAGACUCCUACGGGAGGCAGCAGUGAGGAAUAUUGGACAAUGGAUGGAAAUCUGAUCCAGCCAUGCCGCGUGCAGGAAGACGGCCUUAUGGGUUGUAAACUGCUUUUAUACGGGAGCAAUAAGGGUUACGAGUAAUCCGAUGAGAGUACUGUAUGAAUAAGGAUCGGCUAACUCCGUGCCAGCAGCCGCGGUAAUACGGAGGAUCCGAGCGUUAUCCGGAAUUAUUGGGUUUAAAGGGUGCGUAGGCGGCCAUUUAAGUCAGCGGUGAAAUUUUGCAGCUUAACUGUAACAGUGCCGUUGAUACUGUUUGGCUAGGAUUUGGUUGUAGUGUGCGGAAUGUGUGGUGUAGCGGUGAAAUGCUUACAUAUCACACAGAACACCGAUUGCGAAGGCAGCACACUAAGUCAUUAUUGACGCUGAGGCACGAAAGUGUGGGGAUCAAACAGGAUUAGAUACCCUGGUAGUCCACACUGUAAACGAUGAUAACUA
Molecule: ribosomal RNA, 835 nt
Filed under: uncultured bacterium
Lineage: Bacteria
Description: bacterial SSU rRNA
Rfam family: Bacterial small subunit ribosomal RNA
Source: RNAcentral